Long non-coding RNA from Hyaena hyaena (striped hyena), 375 nucleotides. RefSeq lists it as uncharacterized. The record is from RefSeq and is a predicted model, not a curated record. Lineage: Eukaryota; Metazoa; Chordata; Mammalia; Carnivora; Hyaenidae. The transcript has 3 exons.
CCAGAGGCCAGGAGUGUUAUCAUUCAGCUUCCUCCUGAUCUGGGGUCUUCUCCAUCCAUCAGCAUUUAAGAAAUAUUUUACAAUCUCAUUCAUCCUCCAUUUCAUAUAUAUUUUUGAGUACUAGCUCAGGUCAAACCACCACGGAGGAAAGAACUACACAGCAAAGUAGCAUGAGUUUAAGCAGUGUUCUGAGAACAGCGACUCCUUCUGGAAGAAUCUGCAAAGGAACAGAUGAUUGGCUACAAUGUGAAGGACAGACUGCAAGGGACAGCAGACCCAGAGGAGGACUACUGUAGUAAUUCACAUGACUCACAGGAAAGGUAGUCAACAAGAACAGACGGAAGUUGACAGCCACCAGAGGGCGAAUCAACUGGA